ACAUACUUCUUUAUAUGCCCAUAUGAACAAGAGCAACUAUGGAAUGUAAAGAAGUAUGUAU
This is a microRNA precursor of Acanthochromis polyacanthus (spiny chromis), 61 nucleotides long. Ensembl annotates it as microRNA 1-1. The record is from Ensembl. Lineage: Eukaryota; Metazoa; Chordata; Actinopteri; Pomacentridae.